GACGAACGCUGACGGUGUGCUUUAGACAUGCAAGUCGAACGCGAAAGCCCUUCGGGGUUAGUAGAGUGGCGAACGGGUGAGUAACACGUGGGCAAUCUGCCCCUCGCAGGGGGACAACCGGAGGAAACUCCGGCUAAUACCCCGUACGCUUGCUGGACCGCAUGGUCCGGCAAGGAAAGGUAGCUUCGGCCAUCCGGCGAGGGAUGAGCCCGCGGUGCAUUAGCUAGUUGGUGAGGUAACGGCUCACCAAGGCAACGAUGCAUAGCUGGUCUGAGAGGAUGAUCAGCCACACUGGGACUGAGACACGGCCCAGACUCCUACGGGAGGCAGCAGUCGGGAAUCUUGCGCAAUGGGCGAAAGCCUGACGCAGCAACACCGUGUGAGCGACGAAGGCC
This 395-nucleotide ribosomal RNA is filed under the name uncultured bacterium. RNAcentral's name for it is "bacterial SSU rRNA". It matches the Rfam family "Bacterial small subunit ribosomal RNA", at positions 28 to 416 of the family's 1533-position model. The record is from RNAcentral.